GCAUCUGAAAUCAAGCAGGAUCACCCGCUGAACUUAAGCAU
RNAcentral lists this ribosomal RNA (41 nucleotides) under Meseres corlissi. Its description in RNAcentral is "partial 28S ribosomal RNA". The record is from RNAcentral. Lineage: Eukaryota; Ciliophora; Spirotrichea; Sporadotrichida; Halteriidae.